AUACAGAGGGUGCGAGCGUUAAUCGGAAUUACUGGGCGUAAAGCGCGCGUAGGCGGCUUAUUAAGUCAGAUGUGAAAUCCCCGGGCUCAACCUGGGAACUGCAUCUGAUACUGGUAAGCUAGAGUUUGGGAGAGGGAAGUAGAAUUUCAGGUGUAGCGGUGAAAUGCAUAGAGAUCUGAAGGAAUACCAGUGGCGAAGGCGACUUCCUGGCCUAAAACUGACGCUGAGGUGCGAAAGCGUGGGUAGCAAACGGGAUUAGAAACCCCAGUAGUCC
Molecule: ribosomal RNA, 274 nt
Filed under: uncultured bacterium
Lineage: Bacteria
Description: partial 16S ribosomal RNA
Rfam family: Bacterial small subunit ribosomal RNA
Source: RNAcentral